This 482-nucleotide long non-coding RNA is filed under the name Rattus norvegicus (Norway rat). RNAcentral describes it as "long non-coding RNA NONRATT020203". Lineage: Eukaryota; Metazoa; Chordata; Mammalia; Rodentia; Muridae. The record is from RNAcentral.
CGGCCGCCCCCGGCACCACGUAAGACGCCCCCGCGCGCCCAGCCUCGGCCCAGGCCCGAGCCCCGCAGGCAGGCGAGCGCUGCGCGUCGCCCGCGGCCCGCGAGGAGGCGGAGGAGCAGGACGAGGCGCCGCCUUCCCCGCGCCGCGCGCCCUCGCCCGCCGUUGUCUGCGCUGCGCUGCGCUGGACCAGUUUCGCGAAGUUGCCCGGGCCCCGCGUCGCCCAGAUGUGCGACCUCAUUGAACCGCAGCCGGCCGAGAAGAUCGGCAAGAUGAAGAAGUUGAGGAGAACUUUGUCCGAGAGUUUCAGCCGCAUCGCUCUGAAGAAAGACGACACCACCUUUGAUGAGGUAGGCUAAGUUUCUUCCUCCAACACAAAGGCGUAUUUAUUUACUGUUAAGUAGAGUCCGUAGGUGCUGAUGUUGUGCUUAGAAACAGAAAACGAUAAAAACAAAACAAAACCCCAAAGCUUAAGAAACAAGUAA